AUACGAAGGGUGCAAGCGUUACUCGGAAUUACUGGGCGUAAAGCGUGCGUAGGUGGUUGUUUAAGUCUGUCGUGAAAGCCCUGGGCUCAACCUGGGAAUGGCGAUGGAAACUGGGCGACUAGAGUGUGGCAGAGGGUAGUGGAAUUCCUGGUGUAGCAGUGAAAUGCGUAGAGAUCAGGAGGAACAUCCGUGGCGAAGGCGACUGCCUGGGCAAACACUGACACUGAGGCACGAAAGCGUGGGGAGCAAACAGGAUUAGAUGCCCUGGUAGUCCACGCCCUAAACGAUGCGAACUGGAUGUUGGGUGCAAUUUGGCACGCAGUAUCGAAGCUAACGCGUUAAGUUCGCCGCUUGGGGAGUACGGUCGCAAGACUGAAACUAAAAGGAAUUGGCGGGG
RNAcentral lists this ribosomal RNA (397 nucleotides) under uncultured bacterium. Its description in RNAcentral is "partial 16S ribosomal RNA". It matches the Rfam family "Bacterial small subunit ribosomal RNA", at positions 523 to 918 of the family's 1533-position model. The record is from RNAcentral.